UACGUAGGGGGCAAGCGUUGUCUGGAUUUACUGGGCGUAAAGCGCGCGCAGGCGGGCUGGUCAGUCUGGGGUGAAAUCUCACGGCUCAACCGUGAGAGGUCCCUGGAUACUGCUAGGCUUGAGGGGCGCAGAGGAGAGUGGAAUUCCGGGUGUAGUGGUGGAAUGCGUAGAUAUCAAGUGGAACACCAGUGGCGAAGGCGAGUCUCUGGACAUUUACUGACGCUGAGGCACGAAAGCCAGGGGAGCAAACGGG
Molecule: ribosomal RNA, 253 nt
Filed under: uncultured bacterium
Lineage: Bacteria
Description: partial 16S ribosomal RNA
Rfam family: Bacterial small subunit ribosomal RNA
Source: RNAcentral